AGAGUUUGAUCCUGGCUCAGGACGAACGCUGGCGGCGUGCCUAACACAUGCAAGUCGAGCGGAGCCUAGCGAAAGAUUUAUCUUUUGCGAAAGCUUAGCGGCGGACGGGUGAGUAACGCGUGGGCAACCUGCCUCGUACAGGGGGAUAACACCGGGAAACCGGUGCUAAUACCGCAUAACCUCAACAUAAGACAUCUUAUGUUGAGCAAAGGAGAAAUCCGGUAUGAGAUGGGCCCGCGUCCGAUUAGCUAGUUGGUGGAGUAAGAGCCUACCAAGGCAACGAUCGGUAGCCGAACUGAGAGGUUGAUCGGCCACAUUGGGACUGAGACACGGCCCAGACUCCUACGGGAGGCAGCAGUGGGGAAUAUUGCGCAAUGGGGGGAACCCUGACGCAGCAACGCCGCGUGAAGGAAGAAGGCCUUCGGGUUGUAAACUUCUUUGAUGAGGGACGAAACAAAUGACGGUACCUCAGGAACAAGCCACGGCUAACUACGUGCCAGCAGCCGCGGUAAUACGUAGGUGGCGAGCGUUGUCCGGAAUUACUGGGUGUAAAGGGCGUGUAGGCGGGGAUGUAAGUCAGAUGUGAAAUACCGAGGCUUAACUUCGGGGGUGCAUCUGAAACUAUGUUUCUUGAGUACUGGAGAGGGAAGCGGAAUUCCUAGUGUAGCGGUGAAAUGCGUAGAUAUUAGGAGGAACACCAGUGGCGAAGGCGGCUUCCUGGACAGUAACUGACGCUGAGGCGCGAAAGCGUGGGUAGCGAACAGGAUUAGAUACCCUGGUAGUCCACGCCGUAAACGAUGGAUACUAGGUGUAGGGGGUAUCGACUCCUUCUGUGCCGCAGUUAACGCAUUAAGUAUUCCACCUGGGGAGUACGGCCGCAAGGUUAAAACUCAAAGGAAUUGACGGGGGCCCGCACAAGCAGUGGAGUAUGUGGUUUAAUUCGAGGCAACGCGAAGAACCUUACCAGGGCUUGACAUCCUCUGACAGGCUAAGAGAUUAGCUUUCCCUUCGGGGCAGAGAGACAGGUGGUGCAUGGUUGUCGUCAGCUCGUGUCGUGAGAUGUUGGGUUAAAUCCCGCAACGAGCGCAACCCCUGUCCUAAGUUGCCAGCGAGUAAAGUCGGGUACUUUUAGGAGACCGCCGGCGACAAGUCGGAGGAAGGUGGGGAUGACGUCAAAUCAUCAUGCCCUUUAUGCCCUGGGCGACACACGUGCUACAAUGGCCGGUACAGAGGGCAGCGAAAGCGCGAGCUGGAGCGAAUCCCACAAAACCGGUCCCAGUUCGGAUCGCAGGCUGCAACCCGCCUGCGUGAAGUAGGAAUCGCUAGUAAUCACGGGUCAGCAUACCGUGGUGAAUACGUUCCCGGGCCUUGUACACACCGCCCGUCACACCACGAAAGUCUGCAACACCCGAAGCCGGUGGCCUAACCCGCAAGGGAAGGAGCCGUCGAAGGUGGGGCAGGUGAUUGGGGUGAAGUCGUAACAAGGUA
Molecule: ribosomal RNA, 1488 nt
Filed under: uncultured bacterium
Lineage: Bacteria
Description: 16S ribosomal RNA
Rfam family: Bacterial small subunit ribosomal RNA
Source: RNAcentral